RNAcentral lists this ribosomal RNA (253 nucleotides) under uncultured prokaryote. Its description in RNAcentral is "partial 16S ribosomal RNA". It matches the Rfam family "Bacterial small subunit ribosomal RNA", at positions 525 to 777 of the family's 1533-position model. The record is from RNAcentral.
ACGAAGGGUGCAAGCGUUACUCGGAAUUACUGGGCGUAAAGCGUGCGUAGGUGGUUUGUUAAGUCUGAUGUGAAAGCCCUGGGCUCAACCUGGGAAUGGCACUGGAUACUGGCAAGCUAGAGUGUGGCAGAGGGUAGUGGAAUUCCCGGUGUAGCAGUGAAAUGCGUAGAGAUCGGGAGGAACACCGGUGGCGAAGGCGGCUAUCUGGACCGACAUUGACGCUGAGGCGCGAAAGCGUGGGGAGCAAACAGGA